AACGAACGCUGGCGGCAGGCCUAACACAUGCAAGUCGAGCGAGGACUUCGGUUCUAGCGGCGGACGGGUGAGUAACGCGUGGGAAUGUGCCCUUCUCUACGGAAUAGCCCUGGGAAACUGGGAGUAAUACCGUAUACGCCCUUUUGGGGAAAGAUUUAUCGGAGAAGGAUCAGCCCGCGUUGGAUUAGGUAGUUGGUGGGGUAAUGGCCUACCAAGCCGCCGAUCCAUAGCUGGUUUGAGAGGAUGAUCAGCCACACUGGGACUGAGACACGGCCCAGACUCCUACGGGAGGCAGGAGUGGGGAAUCUUAGAAAAUGGGGGCAACCCUGAUCUAGCCAUGCCGCGUGAGUGAUGAAGGCCUUAGGGUUGUAAAGCUCUUUCAGCUGGGAAGAUAAUGACGGUACCAGCAGAAGAAGCCCCGGCUAACUCCGUG
This 433-nucleotide ribosomal RNA is filed under the name uncultured bacterium. RNAcentral's name for it is "partial 16S ribosomal RNA". It matches the Rfam family "Bacterial small subunit ribosomal RNA", at positions 29 to 507 of the family's 1533-position model. The record is from RNAcentral.